Non-coding RNA from Podarcis lilfordi (Lilford's wall lizard), 69 nucleotides. The record is from the annotation of a GenBank genome assembly. Lineage: Eukaryota; Metazoa; Chordata; Lepidosauria; Squamata; Lacertidae.
GCUGUAGCUCAGUGGUAGAGCAUUUGCUCUGCAUGCAGAAAAUGCUUGGUUCCAUCCUUGGCAUCUCCA